Molecule: long non-coding RNA, 1003 nt
Organism: Papaver somniferum (opium poppy)
Lineage: Eukaryota; Viridiplantae; Streptophyta; Magnoliopsida; Ranunculales; Papaveraceae
Exons: 3
Source: RefSeq, a predicted model, not a curated record
GCAAUUCUGCGAUUUCAAUUUUCUUUUUUUCUUCUCUCUCCUUCGACUUUAGUUCCCAACUUCUCAUCCUCUUCGUUCACUGUUUCUUUUCGUAGAAAGCAAUGGAAACCUAAGCUUGAAUUCUGAAAAAAAAUCCUAUACUAGAAAAAAUUGUGAUUUGUGAUCAAAGAAUCUCCAACAAUUUUUCUCCUCACCCUCUUUAUUCUUUGCAACUUGAAAAGGCCAUAUACAAAUGUUCUCCUGCAACUUGAAAAAAACCUAGGUUUUAAAUUUUGGGUUUCUCGAAGAACAACAUGAAGCGAGACGCAUGAAUAUUGAUUUGGAAAUUGAAUUAGAGUUUCAGCAGCAGCGGUUGGUGAAUUAACAAUUCAGAGAAGCUUAAUGUUUGGGUGCAGAAAACUCAAUGCUGAUGGUUUGCGUUGAAGAUUGCAAACAAAAUCAGAGCAUGUCAGAAAUUUGCUGCAUACAUAGUCGUUCCAAUGUGGUCCGAAGGUAUUCCAGUAGGUACUGCUACACAAAGAGUUCUUUUUGACAGCAUAAAACAAAAUGAUGUAUGAGACUGUUUAUAAAGCUCUGAAAGACGUUGGCCAUGAUGGUGUUAAGCAUCCAACAAAGAGGUUUAAUGUCUGAAAUUGAAAGUGAACGAAUCCGUGAAAGAGAUUGUAUUGAAUGGAAUGGCAGGCACAUCGCGCGUGCGUGUUAUACUAGUGAUGGGAUAAUGUUUUUUUCUAUUGCUGCUUUAGUGAACUGUCGACGACGUUCUAUCCAGUCAUUUCAGUACGUAUCAAUGGUACCUUGAUGUACAUUGACAGCUAGCCCCGGCUACCUAACGAGCUAGAAGUGGUUGAAAUUCCAGUAGGCUGUUUGAUUUUGAUUUAUUUUUUUUUUAAGUAAAAGGGUAUAGGUAUAUAAAGAAAAAUAUCUACAGAUGGCCACGGAUCCCUAAUUGGUCGGAUUACAUCAUUACAAAAGAAUUAAAAGCCUAUUACAAGGGCUUCAAAUA